Homo sapiens (human) is the source of this 1254-nucleotide long non-coding RNA. RefSeq lists it as uncharacterized. Lineage: Eukaryota; Metazoa; Chordata; Mammalia; Primates; Hominidae. The record is from RefSeq and is a predicted model, not a curated record. The transcript is spliced from 4 exons.
AAGUACAAAACAAUCUUGAAAGCAGUCAAAGGAAAAUGAAAAAGAAACUACCAUAUGAAUGAGUGUAGAUUUCUCAUCAGGAACCAUAGCGGCCAGAAAAAAAUGUCAUAAUGUUCAGUAAGUAACAAAAGAAAAAGACCUAUCAACCCAGAAUGCUAUGUGGAGCAAAAGUAUCUUUCAGACAUAAAGGCAAAUAAAUGCAUUCUCAUUGGAAGGUAAGUCAAUACAUUCUCAUUCUUAGCAAGAAUGCUGGAAAAGAAUUAGCAAAGAUUUGAGAUAAGAAAAGUGAUACCAGAAGGAAACUUAGAACAUCGUCAAUGAAGGAACGAAAGCAGAAAUAGAAAAUGUCUGGGUAGACAUAACAGACUGUUCUUCUUCUCCUGAGUUCCUUAAGGUCUAGGGUGUCUAUACUUCCUCUGAAUUACCUGAUCCUACUACAGUGUCUGGCACAGAGCAUCUCCCCAGUGAAUAUGUACUAAAUGAGUGGAAAGUAAUUGAUAGAUUCAAAAGAGUUGUGCAAGAAUAAUGUUCAUUAUUUGGCAAAUCAUUGAAUGUGGUGUUUGAUGGAAGACAAUGAAUCAAAGUUGACUUGAAAGGAGACUACGGAAAGGAAGAAUGACUAAGAUCUCUGAAGAAGGGAAAAGCUAGAUGACUGGGCCACAAGAGGAAAAAAAGCAGCAAGACAGAGAAUAAGUACCCACUGCACUCUUGCCCUGGGCCAUCAAUGAGAAGAUCUGCUCUUAGUGGAGCCCUGCUUUCGCGGUGAAGGCCUUGAAGUCGCGUGUGUUCUAGACUGCCCACUAAGGAUGAAAAAAGAUGCUGUGAGAUGAAGAAGUAGCUCAAGUGGUGGAGUGCUCGCUUAGCAUGUGAGAGGUAGUGGGAUUGAUGCCCACAUUCUCCAGGUUUCACUAGUCGGACCUCAGGUCUCCAGGUUACAGUGGAAAAAAAUAUGUGUUAGACACUGAUCUCAGAAAACAGUAAGUUAGACACUCAUCUCAGUAGCAGCCUGGACACUUCUUUGGCUCAUUAUGUAAGGGCAGCAACAAUACGGGCUUGACUAAGAUUCUACUGGUAUGUGGUAUAGUAUAGAUCUAUCGAUGUGUAAUUAGUUUUCUGUUUCUUUGAGGAGCUGUGAUACAAAGGGACAUAUCCAGUUGCACUUAUUCUCCCUGUUUCCUCCUGCAGCUUGGUCCUAAAUGCAGCAUAAUUAUGGAAAGCGCAGGGCAGAGCCACUCAGGUAAAUACAGCCCCAGC